Molecule: ribosomal RNA, 1119 nt
Filed under: Yarrowia lipolytica
Lineage: Eukaryota; Fungi; Ascomycota; Dipodascomycetes; Dipodascales
Description: SSU rRNA
Rfam family: Eukaryotic small subunit ribosomal RNA
Source: RNAcentral
AUCUGGUUGAUCCUGCCAGUAGUCAUAUGCUUCUCAAGAUAAGCCAUGCAUGUCUAAAUUAUAAAACAAUUAUGCAAUUGAAACUGCAGACGGCUCGAUAAAUCAGUUAUCGUUUGUUGAUAGUUUUCUACAUGGAUAACCGUGAUAACUUCAAGAACUAAUACAUGACAGCCAACUGGCGUAUAUAUUAGAUACAAACCAACAGUAUGGUGAUUCAUAAUAUCUUGUCGAACCGAUCUUCGGUGUAUCAUUCAAAUUUCUGCCCUAUCAACUGCCGAUGGUAGGAUCGUGGCCUAUGGUAACAACAGGUAACAGGGAAUCAGGGUUCUAUUCCGGAGGGAGCCUGAGAAACGGCUACCACAUCCAAAAGAAGGCAACGGGCCUUAAAUUACCAAUCCUGACACAGGAGGUAGUGACAAUAUAUAUGUGAUCCGGGGCUCUUUGAGUUUCGGAAUUGGAAUGAGUACAAUUUAAACACCUUGAGGAACAAUUGGAGCAAGUCUGGUGCCAGCAGCCGCGUGAGAAUUCAGCUCCAAUAGCGUAUAUUAAUGUUGUUGCAGUUAAAAAGCUCGUAGUUGAAAUUGGGCGGGCCUAUUAGUUUAGAGCCGCUUCAGGAAGAACUUCUUCCAGUUACUUUGAAAAAAUUAAGUGUUCUUGCAGGUUUCGCCUGAAUAUAUUAGCAUGGAAUAACAUAACGACGAGGGUCCAUUUUGUUGUUUAGCUUGCAAACCCACGUAAUUAAUAGGGACAGUCGGGGCGUCAGUAUUGUGUUGUCGGGGAGGUAGAAUUCUUGGAUUUACACAAGACUAGCUUACUGCGAGGCAUUCGCCGGGAUGUAUUCAUUAAUCAAGAACGAAAGUUAGGGGAUCCAAAGAUGUCGAUGGUUGAAUCGUCCUUCAAGGAAUUCCUAGUAAGCGCAAGUCAUCAACUUGCGUUGAUUACGUCCCUACCCUUUGUACACCGCCGUCACUACUGCCGAUUGAAUGGUUUGAGUGAGACGCCGGGAGGGCGAGAUGAGGAGGCAACCCCUUUUGAACAUCAAACUUGGUCAAACGAUUAUUUAGAGGAAGUAAAAGUCGUAACAAAGGUUCCGUGGGUGAACCUGCGGAAGGAUCAUUA